Molecule: non-coding RNA, 298 nt
Organism: Peromyscus maniculatus bairdii (prairie deer mouse)
Lineage: Eukaryota; Metazoa; Chordata; Mammalia; Rodentia; Cricetidae
Source: RefSeq, a predicted model, not a curated record
CACAGUGUGUGUGACCCUAAUGGACUGCAGGAAUCUUCCACAGAAGCUCCCCAUUCAUCCAAUAUGGACAAUGAUGCAGGAAAAAAAAAAUGUAAUAAGGCAUCUAGAGAAAAAAUCUGUCAUGGAAGACCAAAAGCAUACCUCAAAAGAAGAGCAGAGAAGGCACAGGGGUAGAAAAACUAAGCGACCAUUUAUUGAUGCUAUAAGAGCAUGUUUUGGUGCUUGUUUCACCAAAAAAUGGAGCUCUUCUCCCCACCACAAGAAAUAGAAGAGAAGACAUAAAAAAGGGAUGAUAAGA